This 263-nucleotide long non-coding RNA is filed under the name Phoenix dactylifera (date palm). RNAcentral's name for it is "long non-coding RNA (PDAC_LNC003181)". The record is from RNAcentral. Lineage: Eukaryota; Viridiplantae; Streptophyta; Magnoliopsida; Arecales; Arecaceae.
AGAGGAACCAUUACUAAACUAUAACGAAUCUAGUUCAAUAUUCCACCUACUAGACCACCUUCAACAUUCAAUAUACAAACCCCAAUAAGGGCCAUAACAGGGUUUGGAUUCAAAACCAUGACCACCCAAACCUGACCCAUUCCUUUUUGGUCUGGCAUUUCUGGGCUUGGGGGCUAAUGCUUUGAAAACUUUAGGCCUAAACUCCUAUCUAGAUUCAUUUAUCACCAAAUUCUCAGAAACUGAACUCCAAAGAUUAGGGCUUU